CGGGGCCUAAUUCUAGGUGCUGGAGAUAACGCUACGCAGCGCCCUCCUACUAAGGAUCGCAGGACUUUGAAGUCAGUAGUCUCAAUGCCCUCAUCUGUGAAUUAAGGGGUUGGCCUAGGUGAACAGUUUCUCAUAACCCCCUGUGGAAGUUAAAAGGAUGCCAGACCUAAGGCUCCAUCUCAGACCUACUGUCAGACUCUGGGGAGAGUACGGCAGAGGAGCCUGUAAAGGUUCCUCCCGGGACGCUAGGACGCAGGGCUGAGAACCUCACCUCUCCAUCUCUAAGUGCCUUCAGCUUAUUCCAUUGUUGAGGGCACUGAAAACCAAGAAAGGCUUCCUGGAAGGGAUGCUGUAUUUAGGUUUUAAAGAAAGGCAAAAGAUACACACUAGCAGAGGGGGAGGGGAUGGGAUCCCAAGUGCAGCUUCUUUUGAUCAAAUGCUUUUCUUUCCUAUAAAGUCAAAGGAAGGCACUUUUGAGGAUCAGGCAUAAAGCUGAGCAAAUUUUUCCCCUAUAAAACAAAGUGAAGAGGCCUGGUGAAGGAGAUGAUGGCAGAGGCACUGCUCUCAUUAAACGGCUAAUUGAGCCCCACACUUCAGAUGGAUAAUGUGGCAGAGCGAGGAGCUGGGAGAGUACCGCUUUCAUUUACCAUCACCUUGGGGAUUUAUUUACCUAUCAGGCCUCAUCUGGGCACUUGCUCACACCCAUUGUUUUUGAGAUGGAUGAUAGGGUGGGGUCCUAGAUGUUUAUUACCCUGGGAAAUGCUGUUCCCUGUCACCAGAUCCUGGCCAUGGUCAUGCUUUCUCCUUAGUAAUGUUUUCUUUUCCUCUAAGGCUGUGAUGAAACAAAUUUGUGAUCUCUUAGUUAUGGUUACUGAUGGGUAGAGAUGCUUCUGAACAUUGAAAAAUUGGAGCUAAGAAAAUCAUCUCUACCUCAAAUUUUAAUAUCCCAGUUACAGGACAAACCUGUUUUUACAAUUAAGUCUGACUGUCUUUAAUUUGAUCGGUAAAAAUAACAUAAAUCAAAUAGCUUAAGUCAAACAGUUCACAAAAGAUAAAUUGAUAUGCCAACAGUAAUAAAUUAAUACAAGAAGAGCUAAUGAUUAUAAAACCAUUUUAAUAUAGCAGUGGAGCAGAUUAGCAUCUAGAAACAGAUCCAGUUAUAGGUGGAACCUAAUAAACGCAAGGGUGCCAUUUUAAUUCAACAGGAAAUGGUUUAUUUAUAUAUAUUGCUGCCAUAAUUGUUCUUUUGGAAAUAUUAUCAUGGAGUGCCCAUUAGCCAAUCUUCCCUUGGCCAUCUUUGCACUAAUUGGGCACGUGGCCACCCAGAAUAAGUACUGUUUUUCCCAGGCUCUCUUUUAGCUAAGAUAGGUUUUGUGACUGAGCUCAGGACUGUAGGCUACAAGUGGAAGUGAUGUGGGCAACGUCGUAUUUUACUCUUUCUGAUGCUAUUGUAAAAAAAAACCAGCAUCAUCCUGUGCCCACCAGGCGUUGCUUCAGGGAUGGAGCUCCGCAGAGUGAAUCUGCCUUUACAGUUGGCAGCGUGCAACUAAGCUUGGAGGAGUCAACUGGGUGGAAAGUCAAUAAAACAGGCUGGCGUUUCUCCCUUUGGCGCCCUGACAGCCUCCACACCGUGGGAACCCUUGUCCAGGAGCCUCCUUUCAGAACAGGCCUCCGAACAGGCACUCAGAGCCUGGGCCAGCCCCUGCUGUCAGCUGCCCCGGAGUGCUCGGCAAGUUCUGGCGGCUCGCUGGGCGGGGUGGGAGGUGUCUGGGCUGCGGCGGCAGCAGCUUCUCUGUGGGGGAGUCCCCUCCAAGCAUCCCCAGUCCUAGGACAGCUGCUUUCCUGUCUCCUCUGCAGGGAGCUGCAAAAGAGGCAGGGAGUGAGCACUGGAGCGGGAGUCCGCAGAGGGACUCUGAGUCCCGGUGCUGCCUUUGCUAGCUGUGCAGCCCUGGGCAAGGUAUUAGCCUCUCAGACCUCCAGUGGCACAGCUGUGACACUCGAGGUGUAAACCUGUGUCCACAGGGGGUUGCUGGGAGAGGGGCAGUAACUGCUGGUGUCUGCCCAGUGCUCUGAGGUCACACUCACCUGCCCAGUUUUUCUCCUAGCUUGCAUCACCUCCUAAUAGACAACACUCACUUAUUAUGUCAAGUUUCUGUCUCCCGGACUAGGGAGAAAGGUUCACAAAGAGAAUGCUUUUCCCUGGGCUUAGAUCCGUGUUUGGCAUGUAGGAGAUGCUCAAAAAUAUCUGUUGAAUGAAUGAAUGGGUAUCUCAGUUAGUCCUCCUCACAGCCCGAGGAGGUGGGAAUUAUUAGCACCUCCAUUGUACAAAUGGGAAACCCGAGACUUAGGAAAGAAAGUCAUUUUCAUAAAGUCAUAGGAGAGCAUGUGGUGGGGCUGACAUUUAAACAAGGCAGGUCAGCUAUGACGUACAUGCAAUCGUUGGAUGCAGUUAAGGUGCUGGGUAAAGGUAAGGAGUUGUACAAUCUAAACACAAACUUCACUUCCGUACAGUGCCUUCAGCCUCCUCCCUUGGCCCUCGCACUGCCCUUGCGUUAGGUAGCUUUGUCAACUGUCGACUUUUUGCUGGAUUUAUUUUGUGUAUAUCAUCCAUAGCCAAUCUUUAAUCCAAGGCUGAUUUGUUCAGACCACCCAGCACAUUUCUUUGCCACCUCCCACCACAGUCAGCUGGCUGGAGUGUUCUCAGGAGGUUACAACUGCAUUUUAUUAGCAGCUUGGGCCAAACUUAGAGACUGAAAGUCCUGUAAGAGACACUCUGCAUUCCAAAGGCAAAUAGAUUUCUGAGGUGUAUUUUGCUAAGCUAUAGUCCCACUUCUCUCCUCAUUAUCCUUGUUCCCUGAGAAUUCAUU
Molecule: long non-coding RNA, 2867 nt
Organism: Manis pentadactyla (Chinese pangolin)
Lineage: Eukaryota; Metazoa; Chordata; Mammalia; Pholidota; Manidae
Exons: 3
Source: RefSeq, a predicted model, not a curated record